CCAUCAGAAGGGGAUAACACUUGGAAACAGGUGCUAAUACCGUAUAACACUAUUUUCCGCAUGGAAGAAAGUUGAAAGGCGCUUUUGCGUCACUGAUGGAUGGACCCGCGGUGCAUUAGCUAGUUGGUGAGGUAACGGCUCACCAAGGCAACGAUGCAUAGCCGACCUGAGAGGGUGAUCGGCCACACUGGGACUGAGACACGGCCCAGACUCCUACGGGAGGCAGCAGUAGGGAAUCUUCGGCAAUGGACGAAAGUCUGACCGAGCAACGCCGCGUGAGUGAAGAAGGUUUUCGGAUCGUAAAACUCUGUUGUUAGAGAAGAACAAGGAUGAGAGUAAAAUGUUCAUCCCUUGACGGUAUCUAACCAGAAAGCCACGGCUAACUACGUGCCAGCAGCCGCGGUAAUACGUAGGUGGCAAGCGUUGUCCGGAUUUAUUGGGCGUAAAGCGAGCGCAGGCGGUUUCUUAAGUCUGAUGUGAAAGCCCCCGGCUCAACCGGGGAGGGUCAUUGGAAACUGGGAGACUUGAGUGCAGAAGAGGAGAGUGGAAUUCCAUGUGUAGCGGUGAAAUGCGUAGAUAUAUGGAGGACACCAGUGGCGA
RNAcentral lists this ribosomal RNA (600 nucleotides) under uncultured Bacilli bacterium. RNAcentral's name for it is "bacterial SSU rRNA". It matches the Rfam family "Bacterial small subunit ribosomal RNA", at positions 130 to 718 of the family's 1533-position model. Lineage: Bacteria; Bacillati; Bacillota; Bacilli. The record is from RNAcentral.